This 466-nucleotide ribosomal RNA is filed under the name uncultured bacterium. Its description in RNAcentral is "partial 16S ribosomal RNA". It matches the Rfam family "Bacterial small subunit ribosomal RNA", at positions 28 to 505 of the family's 1533-position model. The record is from RNAcentral.
GACGAACGCUGGCGGCGUGCUUAACACAUGCAAGUCGAACGGAAAGGCCCUGCUUUUGUGGGGUGCUCGAGUGGCGAACGGGUGAGUAACACGUGAGUAACCUGCCCUUGACUUUGGGAUAACUUCAGGAAACUGGGGCUAAUACCGGAUAGGAGCUCCUGCUGCAUGGUGGGGGUUGGAAAGUUUCGGCGGUUGGGGAUGGACUCGCGGCUUAUCAGCUUGUUGGUGGGGUAGUGGCUUACCAAGGCUUUGACGGGUAGCCGGCCUGAGAGGGUGACCGGCCACAUUGGGACUGAGAUACGGCCAAGACUCCUACGAGAGGCGGCAGUGGGGAAUAUUGCACAAUGGGCGGAAGCCUGAUGCAGCAACGCCGCGUGCGGGAUGACGGCCUUCGGGUUGUAAACCGCUUUCGCCUGUGACGAAGCGUGAGUGACGGUAAUGGGUAAAGAAGCACCGGCUAACUACG